Molecule: non-coding RNA, 985 nt
Organism: Carica papaya (papaya)
Lineage: Eukaryota; Viridiplantae; Streptophyta; Magnoliopsida; Brassicales; Caricaceae
Source: RefSeq, a predicted model, not a curated record
UUUCAACAAAUUUCCUAGCAUGCCUUGCUAGGCUAUGUAAGCUACGUACUAUAAAUUAUGUACAAAAGGGCGGCAGCACAGGCAGUUGGUUACCAAGGAUCCAAGCAAGCUAGUCAACCGUUCCAGCAAAGCAGCAGUGCCGGCGAGUCAAGAAGCUUAUGAUUGUUUCAUCAUAUCCACAUAAACUUGUUUUUAACAGCAUCUUGUACUGAGCUUAUCAUUUGCUUAUGACCAAAAUCAUCAUAUCUCUUUCCCUAACUCAUAAAAGAAAAUAAAGAAAAGUCCUCAUGGCAUCCAUUAUUAGACAAUCUCAAAAGAAGAAAAGUAUAAAUGUAAGGUACCUCGCAUCUAUCGACAUCUGCAGUCCAAGCAUUUGGAGGAAGUGAGGUUGGGUCAAGCAACUUGUAUGGGUGGUCCGUUGCUGGGCUUACUGCAAUCCUUGACAAAGUCUUCAACGCUGUAGACUACGGUCAUGUAAAGAGAACAGCUAGGGCACCGAGCGAUCACCUCGCCGAGUAUAAGGUCCUCUUUAGUCAUCUGGAACAGGUCGCCGCAUGGACAAGGACAGAUAUGCAGCUGCUCGUUCCACUCCAUGUCCUCUAUCUCCAGGUCGUCGUAGGACAUCGUUUUAGUGCUCGAUCCCGAGUCCUUGGUUAAUUAAAUAUUGAUGAUGAAAAGGAGGAAACAUAUCUAUGUCAGGGUUAAAUGGAAGCUUUAGCGGCUAGCAACACCAGAAGCAACGAAAACCCAGCAGCAAGCGUAAGCGCCAAAAAUUGAUAAGAAAAAUGAGCGAAGAUGGAAAAUGUCGCGACAGACGAUGAACAAAAAUAUCAGCGUGACUCAGUUCUUGUUUCAGAGGCUGAAACCCUUGGAUUCGAAGGGGUCGGAAGCAGAACGAAACAGAGGAUCAAAGAACCCAGCAGCAAACCUAAUCGCGAAAUAUGAGCAACGAUCGACGAUGUAGCAACAGACGACGAACCGAAAA